UUUAGAUUAAUUAUUAAUAAAACUUAACUAAUAUCAAAAACCUUGCUUGAUGAUAGUGUUGUAAUAAAGUCAGCGACUUACACAAGUACUGAAAGACUGAGGAUAAUAGACUAUAACCUACUCAAGAGCACUUUGUAAAUGACUAUAAGUCUAAAAACAUUGAAUGAUUAUGAACCAGAUUUAUAGUCUGAUCCAGUGGUGUGAUAUGUGAUCACGCCAUAUUUCACUUUGAUCACAGAUAUUUUUUAUAGAUUAGAAUAGGUAAAACUAUGAUCACGCCAUAUUACAACGCUACCACAGUUAUUUUAUAGAUUAGGUAAAACUAUGAUCACACCAUAUGAUACCACAACCUUACAAAUCUGUAUAUAAGUGAUCAGUAGACAUUGAUUAUAGUUAGUGUUAAAUCUCAACAUUGUCUAUAAAUUUUAUGUUUCGUCGUUUCAUACCGUAAUAUAUCCGUUUGCUACAAGUCGAUAACAAACCAAGUAACACAAUUUGAUCAGGUAUAUUUAAUAUAUAUAAAAAAUAAUAUGUCGUACUAUACUAAUGUAUCUGCAGGCGAAAGCUCUUCAAAUGAUGA
Long non-coding RNA from Aphis gossypii (cotton aphid), 580 nucleotides. RefSeq lists it as uncharacterized. The record is from RefSeq and is a predicted model, not a curated record. Lineage: Eukaryota; Metazoa; Arthropoda; Insecta; Hemiptera; Aphididae. The transcript has 3 exons.